GCCUGGGGCUGGGACGUGCGCAUGCGCCUGGCUGGGGUGCUCUCUGUCAGCCCAGGGGUGGGGGGGUCCCCGGGCUGUUGGGGCAUGAUGGGAAAGGCCACGUGCUGGGGGAGCGCAGGGGAGGUGCCUGGUCCCACCCAGGACAGGCAGCAUCUUCCCAGGGCGAGUUCUGUCUCAGGUGGGACGUCCUGAGUCCGGACGAGCGAGUCGGUGCCGCAGGAGUAAACAAGUUCAAACCUGAGUGUCGCCACACACGGAGAUCUGGUCUUCACUCUGCCACGGUCCAGCGAGGGUCUUCCAGCUGAGUGUCCUCCGGUGGGGACGCAGAGAUCCAGGGGACUCGCCUGGGGUCACACAGCCCCCUGGAUGGAUGCUCGCCUUCUCGACUCGGACACCCUUGUCCUCGUCCCCUCAGGCAUCCAGAGCCUCGGUCUCCCCAGCAGUUAUCACACGUCCGAAAUGACACGGUGCAGAGCCCGCUCUCGCGCUCCCUGCCUGCUCGGCUCAGGGUCUGAUCAGAGGAAGGACCAGGCCCAGAGCGUGGGGGUCAAUGCCUCAUCCCAGGAGAUGGGCUGACGGAAGGAUCCCGUACCCCGUGCGGAGACCACGCCGCAGCUGCCACUCGGCCCCCUGCUGCAGGGUGGAUGGGUCAGGCUGGGGUCAGGCAGAGGACGGCCACCACUUCGGGGCUUGGGGUGGACUCAGAAAGAGUCUGCACCCCCAUGCACCCCCGCUUUGCAGGGUGGUCCUCACAUUUAUGCCUGCAGCGGCCCCGUGAGUGAGUCACUGAGGAGACAGAGGCUCAGAGAGAGCAGCCACCUGCCGAGCCCACCCAGCCAGCAAGUGGCAGAAGCAGGGCACACACCCAGGUGCUUGGCCUCCAGUCUUUUCUUCCAUAAAUACAUCCUGAGUUGGGCUCACUCGGGGCGAGGGUCCAAGAUCAGCACAGGGAAGAAACAGAGAGCUAAGACUCCGUGCCCGACCCGACGGUCUCGUGCUGGGGGAAGGAGCGUCAGUUCACUGUGGAAUAUUACUCAGCCCCGAAGAGGAAGCCCAGCCUGACCCUGGCUCCAAUACGGAGGGACCUCGAAGACUCCGUGCUGAGUGACAUAGGCCAGGCACAAAGGACAGAUAGCAUAUGACUGCAUUCAUAGGACGUCCCCAGAGGGGUCACAUCCGUAGACAGAAGGGAGGGCGGUGGGCACCAGGGGCUGGGCAGGGGGUGGGGAGCAAGCAUUAGUGGGGCAGAGUGUCUGCUUAGGAGGAUGGGAAAGCUGUGGAGAUGGGCGGUGGUGAUAGCUGCACAGCAGUGUGAAUGUGCUGAACACUAUUGAUCUGCGCUCUUAAAAAGAUGCAG
RNAcentral lists this long non-coding RNA (1357 nucleotides) under Equus caballus (horse). RNAcentral's name for it is "lncRNA (ENSECAG00000039992.2)". The record is from RNAcentral. Lineage: Eukaryota; Metazoa; Chordata; Mammalia; Perissodactyla; Equidae.